This 467-nucleotide ribosomal RNA is filed under the name uncultured bacterium. RNAcentral describes it as "partial 16S ribosomal RNA". It matches the Rfam family "Bacterial small subunit ribosomal RNA", at positions 28 to 506 of the family's 1533-position model. The record is from RNAcentral.
GACGAACGCUGGCGGCGUGCUUAACACAUGCAAGUCGAACGGAAAGGCCCUGCUUUUGUGGGGUGCUCGAGUGGCGAACGGGUGAGUAACACGUGAGUAACCUGCCCUCGACUUUGGGAUAACUUCAGGAAACUGGGGCUAAUACCGGAUAGGAGCUCCUGCUGCAUGGUGGGGGUUGGAAAGUUUCGGCGGUUGGGGAUGGACUCGCGGCUUAUCAGCUUGUUGGUGGGGUAGUGGCUUACCAAGGCUUUGACGGGUAGCCGGCCUGAGAGGGUGACCGGCCACAUUGGGACUGAGAUACGGCCCAGACUCCUACGGGAGGCAGCAGUGGGGAAUAUUGCACAAUGGGCGGAAGCCUGAUGCAGCAACGCCGCGUGCGGGAUGACGGCCUUCGGGUUGUAAACCGCUUUCGCCUGUGACGAAGCGUGAGUGACGGUAAUGGGUAAAGAAGCACCGGCUAACUACGU